GGACGAUUAGCUCAGCUGGUAGAGCAUUCGCUUGACGUGCGAAGGGUCGGGGAUUCGAGUUCCUCAUCGUCCACCA
This 76-nucleotide transfer RNA is filed under the name Clostridiales bacterium. Its description in RNAcentral is "tRNA-Val". It matches the Rfam family "tRNA". From Rfam's summary of the family: Transfer RNA (tRNA) molecules are approximately 80 nucleotides in length. Their secondary structure includes four short double-helical elements and three loops (D, anti-codon, and T loops). Further hydrogen bonds mediate the characteristic L-shaped molecular structure. tRNAs have two regions of fundamental functional importance: the anti-codon, which is responsible for specific mRNA codon recognition, and the 3' end, to which the tRNAs corresponding amino acid is attached (by aminoacyl-tRNA synthetases). tRNAs cope with the degeneracy of the genetic code in two manners: having more than one tRNA (with a specific anti-codon) for a particular amino acid; and 'wobble' base-pairing, i.e. permitting non-standard base-pairing at the 3rd anti-codon position. The record is from RNAcentral. Lineage: Bacteria; Bacillati; Bacillota; Clostridia; Eubacteriales.